This is an RNA transcript of Homarus americanus (American lobster), 5900 nucleotides long. It is a transcript of the gene named little elongation complex subunit 2-like, with no coding region annotated. The transcript is spliced from 17 exons. Lineage: Eukaryota; Metazoa; Arthropoda; Malacostraca; Decapoda; Nephropidae. The record is from RefSeq and is a predicted model, not a curated record.
UAAAUACACAACGCUAGAGCGGUUUGGGGCGUCACACUCCCUCCCACGGGUCGUCUGGGUGGCACUUCAGCUGACAGAGAGGACUGUCAAGAACUUCAGCCAAGAUGAGGCUGAUGUGUGUGUUGGUGGUGGUUGUACUCGUAUGCCUGGCCACAGAUACCCACGCUGGGCCUUCCUACGGGAGGUAUCUCACCGGAGCCAGAAACAGAUCUGGUGGUCGCAGGAGGCAGGGAAAUCAAAGGGGCCACCGCACCAACAGACUGAACAGUGUUAAUAAACCCCCUAACCGGAGUGGGCGUAUGCGCUCCAGGCCUCCCUCUGGCCUACCAGGAGCUCACUUCCUCCCAGAUCCCUACGCCUUUGUCAACUCUGAUGUCUACCCGGCCGUGUCCUUCAAAUGAUGUCUUCUCAGCUAUGCCCCUCAUCUGUUUUCUGUCUACCCAAGUGUCACUACGGUCAUUUUAACAAUACUGGGGUUGUUAUAUCAGUCAACGGUGUACUCUUAUCACUUCACAUUACUUUUAAAGUAAAUAUCUAAAACGUGAGAGAUGACAGAUACAUUAACAGUAAUAUUUCAUCUGAUACUUGUUCAAGUGAGAGUGUUAUUCAGAAAAAAAAAGAAUGGCCAGAUUUUAAUAUACAGAAUAACCAUUUAAUAAUCUGUGUAUUUUUUCAAUGUCCCCGUACUACUCAAGUCGGAUUUAGAAUUGUAUGGAAUGUUUAUUACGUGUGUUUAAAAAAAUCGCAUAUUUCAUUUUUUUUAAUGUUAUAUACAAAUGAAAUCCUGGAAUUUUACAGAUAGUCCUGCAAUUUUAGGAAAAUAUAUUCAUAGGCUCACUCAUAUUUUUGUUUUAUCUACAUGUACUGUAUAAAGUUCAUCUUAAUAAUGCUGAUAUAUGCACACUUGUUUAGUGAAUUAAAUUUUUAAAUGAUUAACACGUAAGUAUGACAGCUAAAUCAGUUGUGUCUUUUCUUGUUUAAAUUAGGUAAGACAGUCUGUACACUUCUGUGGCUUGAGUGCUAUUUAGCUAUACAAUAUCUUCGUUAUAAACUAAGCCUCUGCUCGUCUGCCUUCCCAAGCAAGCAGAACCAACUAUCAUACCGUUUUGGUCUUCAAUAUUUCUUUUUAAUGUGUGGUUUGGCCGUUUAAGCAACCGCCUUCAAUUUUACCCAGAAUGUUUUCAUCCGAUGAGUAAAUUUGCUUAUAUCGGUUUUUUAGUAUUAUUUCUCCCGAUUUCACCUGAUACUAAAUGUAUAUACAAAAAAUUACACACAUCAAUAUUAACAACAACAUAUUUACUUACGGUUUGUAUAAUAUCUUGUUACGACUGUCACUUGAUACCCAAACAAUCACAGCUCUGGUUCAUCCCAUUGUUGUUUUACAAUUUAACUUUUAUCGCCUCGACUUUUAAUUGUUCUUUGCAGGGUUUUUUUUAUAUGGUACUGUAAUUAGCGUUAGCGAGGCUGACCAUCAAAACAACGCGAUUGUUCUGUUCGAAUUUUUUCACAAGAGGUAAUGGCGGCUAUUAGAGAUUUCAAAACUUUCAGUCGAAUACAUUGCCAUGGCAAAUAAAACACUGUUUAAAAACGAUUAAUACGUACACCACUUACUUCACUGUAAGAUUUGUUCAGUUAACAUUCAACCUCAGCCUUGUUUACCACAAUAAAUCACACUCUUCGUUAAUCACUGACUUAUGGUAUACUCAACUCCGGGUAACCCAAAGCGACUGAGUGUCAAUCACUGCUGUCACCUGCUCUGUGAAAUCUCUAUUUUAAACCCUUGUCUCAUUAUGGACAUGGGAAGAGGAAACUGGAGCUUGACAAUCUAGAAACCAAACAAAUAUUUCCACCUGUUAUUCUUGCAAUUCGUCUUCGAGAAAAAGAGUACGCCUAUUUUCUUUUAGUGGCUCUCGUGGAUUUGUGAUUCCUUCAUGUAGACUUACUGUACAUCCCCGCCCCCCUUUUCCUGGAAUAUAUAUUCAACUACUGCUGUCUCAAGAUUUUCCAUAAAACCUUGACAAUAAUUCGUAUGUCUGAUUCCUCCCUCAGUUUGUUCUUUGUAGUUUAUUUUUUUCUCCCUCAAUUAUUUUAUCCUUAUUUUCAGAUAUUGUAUAAUAGUUGACUUACCUUCCUUUCCUUGAUAUAACUUUUAACAUCUGCAGAAAAAUUUGCAUAUUAAAUAUAGUCACAGUAUACAGUAUUUGAAUUUUCUCGCUGUAUUUUCACUCUGGUGAGUAGAGAAUAUUUAAGGAAAUAUUCAGAGGACUUGGUUAAAUAAGAUUAUUAAACAUUUAUUUUUUUUAACUUUACUUUCAGAUUUCCACAGUGAUUUGCCAUAAAAAUCGAAAUCCUAAAGGUACAGAUUUUCUCAAUGUAUUCAUUAUUGUGGUUAACGACGAUGAUGGCACACGUGUGACAGCCCCAACAAUUGUCUUAUAACAUUAUUAGUCGUUCUGAAAAAAGAAAAGGAAUCUAGCUGCAAUAAUAUUCACAGAAAAAUACACUCCAUAAUCUACAAUGGACCUAAACGAGAUAACAUUCAUACCAGAGCUAUUCAAGCAAAAAUCGAAAGGAUUUGAUCCAGUGGUUGCAGAUGAUCCUUUCAUAAGUUAUGCAGUGCUGAAAGAUUGCUGCAGCCUGUUUGCUUCAGGUGGCCCUUGUAUCCCCAACUAUGUCACCAAAGAGCCCAUUGUCUCUAAUAUCAUACAAUUUUCUGAUGAUGUUUGGAAUGAUAUAGCAAAGGGUCACAAAGAGAGGGAGAAGAGAGAGAGAGAAGCAGAGAAAGAGUUGGAGAAGGAAAAAGAAAAAGAAGAAGCAGUAGCUCAUCAGAUAAAAAAAAAAUUGGACAGUGAAAUAGACGGUGUCUUCAACAAACAUUGCUUUUUUCUCAAGAAGCCGUGCCCUGUUUUGAUCCCGUAUAAAUCCUCUCUUACUCAUGAUGAGCAUGAGGCAUACCUUCGAGCUUUUCUUAAGUUCAAGAUCAGAGCUGCCAAGACUGCUGCUGAAACAGCUGAAUAUCAACAUUACUUGAGACUUCAAAAUCGUGUGUAUGAAGAACAGAAUUGUUUCAUGCAGUUCUCACAUCAGGUUGCCAGGCUACAGAUGACAGCUUACAAUAAAGUUCCGGAUGUAAUAACUAAUUAUAUAGAUGAAUAUGUACAGCACCGAUGUAAACGUUCUUGCAAGUAUGAGAGUUCAUAUGUUGAUGAGCAGCAAAUACCUAUUUGUCCACAAGACCCAAAGAAGAGAUUCAACAGUUUAUGUUUUACCCACAUUGGUCACCUGUUAAGUUUGGGAAGCAUACCAUGGAUAAAAAUCCCCAACUGCCAUGUUGCAAACAAACUUUUGGUAGAUGAAUCUGUAUCAAUACAGCAACCUCCAGCAGUAGAUAAGAAAAAAGACCUUAAGGACAUCCUUUACAAAACUCCAGUGAGUAAAGAUCACAAUGCUGCAUACCUGGCCCAGAAACAUGAAGCCAAUAUAGUCAUAUCAAGCAGUGCAUUGAAGAUCAUAGCAGACAAUUAUGGGCCAAACUUUGACAAGGAGUGGGAUAUUCCUGUUGAAGUGAAGUCAUAUCCUGUAAAAGAUGCUGAUGGAAGUGAAAGGAAUCACAGAGUAGUGUUCAUUGACAAGCCAAUGGUCAAGAAAACUUGGACUCCUAUGGAAAAGAAGCAGUUGUUUUAUAAAAAAUCUGCAUUAGCAUCAUUGACGGAGAUUAAGCGAGUGCCUUUUUUCAGAAUGAAAUCUCCACUGGGUUUUCAAUAUGAAAAGAAAGAACAAACUGAAUGCACCCAGUACGAUGAUGAUUUCCUCGACUUGACAUCUACAGCAAAUCAUGAUACCUUUGGUGCUCAGCCAGCUGUUGUGUCUCCAAUCUCUAAAUCUCCAAAGAAAAAAAGGAUGGCAAAAGCGAGUGAAGCUGAAAAAUCUCCAAAGAAAAAAGGAAUGGCAAAAGCGAGUGAAGCUGAAAAAUUGCUACCUGUUGUAAAAAGAGAAACUAAUUCCACUGACGAAAGCUGUAAUCCACUUUUGAUUGAUGUGAAGAUAGAAAAUGAAAAAGACAAAAAUAUUGAAAUUGAAUCACACAAUGAACUCGGUUCCAGUUAUGGUAAAAUUGAAAAAGAAAGGAAAGGGAAUAAAAAUUCAAAGAAAUCAAAAACCAUGAACUCAAAUCCUUCAAAAAUUAAUAAUGAGUCUGGUCUUCAAAAAACAACUAUUAAAAGAGAAGAUACCAGGGAGCUUCAGCCAAAUAACUCCAGUAAAUCAAAAUAUACAGAACCUCCAGGAUGUAGCAGUGGUGGCGGUGUCUUAGAAAAUCUACUUGACAUGCAAGAGUCUUUGUUUAAUUCAGCACAAGCUUCAAAUCCCCAAAAAUUAGAGAAGAGCAAAGGAUCACCCACAUCCCAUAUUGAGAAACCUUGGUCAGGCACACUGCAUACAGAAUGGCAAGAACAUACGCAGAGACAAAACUGUCCCGCUUGGUCUGGCAUCAAUGUACAUUAUCAGCUUUUUUCACUUGAUUUUAGCAGUUCAGAUCCCGGCAAUACUUUACAACCCUUCCGCAUCAUAGUCCGGCAUAAUCUUCAUGGAUUGUCUAGAUUUAGAUCUAAAAAGGAGUCAAGCCAAGCAUACAUUGUGUACCCAAAACCAGAAAGUCAAGCAUAUUUUGGAUGUGAAGUCAACACACUAUCUGAAAUUGUACAGCAGUGGAUUCACCUCUUAGUGCGUCCUAAUACAACACUUCUUCAAGUACGUAUGUGUGAGGAUUCUGGCGAAAUCCUCAUAACAGAGGAAAAAGAUUUAGCCACAGUCUUGAAGGAAGGGAAACAACCACAUAUUGGAUUUUUACCUCAUCAGCCACUGGCAACACUGUACUCCGUAUUUUCAGCAGUUGUUGGCAUAGCAACUGGACAUUAUCUCCUUCAUCAUGACUCUAAGACAAAUGCUUUUAUCAAACUUUUAAAGGCAACAGAUUCAGACAAGCAGACGUUUAUUCAAAAAUACCAUCUUCAUACAGUUUAUUCAAUUACUUCUCCAUUCACCCGGAUGUACACAACACCUCCUUGGCUUGCUAUUGACACUCAUAUUCUCACACCGUUUCAUAUCAAGCAUUACAAGAUUCCUGCAACCUUUCCUAUGGAAAAUAUUUCGAAGAAAUUGUCAUUCACAAGGAAGAAGAAAAUAAGAGAGAACGCUAAGAAGAAGAAAAAGUUAGAAGAUCUUUAUAAAGAGAAGGAGAGUGAAGAAACUUAUGAAUCCUCAGAAUAAUAGAGAAGAACUCAAGUAUGGUAGAAUGGGAAAGGUGUCAAUCACACAGACUUGGUGGAUUGAAAUAUUAAUGCAUGGAAGUAUCCAAUUGUGGCUCUUGGAUCACUCAACGACUGCCCCGGAGUCAGUAGAUACCCAGCAGGGAUCAAUAUAUGAAACGAUGGCACCGAUUCGGCAUGAUUAAUCUGCUCCACUGCCUCGUGGAACCAGACCCCAGACUCGCCAUGUGUCCGGCUACCACCGACCACAGCAACGGUAGUGAGCCCCAGUGUUCUACCCUGGUAGUUAUAUGUCCACAGAGUGUGUUGUAAUAUGUAUGUUGGGGAUAAUUAGUUGGAAAUAAUCCUCCCAUGUUGGGUAGUGGACCCAUGUAUGUGCUGGUUUCAGUAUUAACGUAUAUGUUGUGAGUGCAUCUCAUAUGCACUACCAACCGUCAGUAAGUGAUGUAAGGUACCUUGUAAUGUGUGAGAAGUAAAGUUGUCCACUUGGGACUAGGAGUAAAGUCUUGUAACUGUAUUGAGAUGUACCACUAGAAGAUGUGGGUGAAGUAGAAGUACCCACUUGGAGUGGCAGUAAAGUAAUCUACAAGGAGUGCCAUGUACUAUGUAUUGUGAGUAGGGCCAAGGAACUGG